UCCCUGGUGGUCCAGUGGCUAAGACUCUGUACUCCUAGUGUAGAAGGCUCAGGUUCGAUCCCUGGUCAGGGAA
Molecule: transfer RNA, 73 nt
Filed under: Ovis aries (sheep)
Lineage: Eukaryota; Metazoa; Chordata; Mammalia; Artiodactyla; Bovidae
Rfam family: tRNA
About the family: Transfer RNA (tRNA) molecules are approximately 80 nucleotides in length. Their secondary structure includes four short double-helical elements and three loops (D, anti-codon, and T loops).
Source: Rfam by way of RNAcentral